This 254-nucleotide ribosomal RNA is filed under the name uncultured bacterium. RNAcentral's name for it is "partial 16S ribosomal RNA". It matches the Rfam family "Bacterial small subunit ribosomal RNA", at positions 524 to 776 of the family's 1533-position model. The record is from RNAcentral.
UACGUAGGGGGCGAGCGUUGUCCGGAUUUAUUGGGCGUAAAGAGCUCGUAGGCGGUUCGAUAAGUCGGACGUGAAAUCUCCACGCUCAACGUGGAGGGGCCGUUCGAUACUGUCGUGACUCGAGUCCGGUAGGGGAGUGUGGAAUUCCCGGUGUAGCGGUGAAAUACGCAGAGAUCGGGAGGAACACCCGUAGCGAAGGCGGCACUCUGGGCCGGUACUGACGCUGAGGAGCGAAAGCGUGGGGAGCAAACAGG